Molecule: non-coding RNA, 207 nt
Organism: Oryza meridionalis
Lineage: Eukaryota; Viridiplantae; Streptophyta; Magnoliopsida; Poales; Poaceae
Source: Rfam
AAAGACUCGAUUCUUGGGUUUUGGUGUUCAACGUUUGACCAUCCGUCUUAUACGAAAUUUUUUUAUGAUUAGCAUUUUUAUUAUUGUUAGAUGAUAAAAUAUGAAUAAUACUUUAUACAUGACUUAUCUUUUUAAAUUUUUUCAUAACUUUUUCAAAUAAGACGAAUGGUCAAAUGUUAGACACGGAAACCCAGGAAUUGAGUUUUU